AGCAGUGUGGCUUAGUGGAAAGAGCACAGGCUUAGGAACCAGAGUCAUAGGUUCCAAUCCUGGCUCUGCCA
RNAcentral lists this transfer RNA (71 nucleotides) under Ornithorhynchus anatinus (platypus). It matches the Rfam family "tRNA". Rfam says of the family: Transfer RNA (tRNA) molecules are approximately 80 nucleotides in length. Lineage: Eukaryota; Metazoa; Chordata; Mammalia; Monotremata; Ornithorhynchidae. The record is from Rfam by way of RNAcentral.